This 253-nucleotide ribosomal RNA is filed under the name uncultured bacterium. Its description in RNAcentral is "partial 16S ribosomal RNA". It matches the Rfam family "Bacterial small subunit ribosomal RNA", at positions 524 to 776 of the family's 1533-position model. The record is from RNAcentral.
UACGGAGGGCGCGAGCGAUGUUCGGACUCAUUGGGCGUAAAGCGCGUGUAGGCGGCUUGGCAAGUCGGGUGUGAAAUCCCGGGGCCCAACCCCGGAACUGCAUUCGAAACUGCCUCGCUAGAGUCCCGGAGAGGAAGGCGGAAUUCCCGGUGUAGAGGUGAAAUUCGUAGAUAUCGGGAGGAACACCAGCGGCGAAGGCGGCCUUCUGGACGGUGACUGACGCUGAGACGCGAAAGCGUGGGGAGCAAACAGG